UGGAGGUCCUAGCUGGCAUCCCUAGUACGGCGAGUGAGCGGGAAGAGCUCAAAUUUGAAAUCUGGUAGCCUUCGGCUGCCCGAGUUGUAAUCUAGAGAAGUGUUUUCCGUGCCGGCCCAUGUACAAGUCCCUUGGAACAGGGCGUCAUAGAGGGUGAGAAUCCCGUCCUUGACAUGGACCCCCGGUGCUUUGUGAUACACUUUCAACGAGUCGAGUUGUUUGGGAAUGCAGCUCAAAAUGGGUGGUGAAUUCCAUCUAAAGCUAAAUAUUGGCGAGAGACCGAUAGCGAACAAGUACCGUGAGGGAAAGAUGAAAAGCACUUUGGAAAGAGAGUUAAACAGUACGUGAAAUUGUUGAAAGGGAAACGAUUGAAGUCAGUCAUGCUCUUUGGAUUCAGCCGUUCUGCGGUGUAUUUCCAUUGAGUGGGGUCAACAUCAGUUUUGACCGCUGGAUAAAGGCACUAGGAAGGUAGCACUCUCGGGUGAACUUAUAGCCUAGCGUCAUAUACAGUGGUUGGGACUGAGGAACGCAGCAUGCCUUUAUGGCCGGGAUUCGUCCACGUACAUGCUUAGGAUGUUGACAUAAUGGCUUUAAACGACCCGUCUUGAAA
Molecule: ribosomal RNA, 610 nt
Filed under: Naganishia uzbekistanensis
Lineage: Eukaryota; Fungi; Basidiomycota; Tremellomycetes; Filobasidiales; Filobasidiaceae
Description: eukaryotic LSU rRNA
Rfam family: Eukaryotic large subunit ribosomal RNA
Source: RNAcentral